GAGGGUACAGCUCAGUGGAAGAGCACGUGCUUAGCACACUCGAGGUCCUAGGUUCAAUCCCCAGUACCUUCA
Molecule: transfer RNA, 72 nt
Filed under: Camelus bactrianus (Bactrian camel)
Lineage: Eukaryota; Metazoa; Chordata; Mammalia; Artiodactyla; Camelidae
Also listed under: 2 other names
Rfam family: tRNA
About the family: Transfer RNA (tRNA) molecules are approximately 80 nucleotides in length.
Source: Rfam by way of RNAcentral